This 1534-nucleotide ribosomal RNA is filed under the name Bacteroides eggerthii. RNAcentral describes it as "bacterial SSU rRNA". It matches the Rfam family "Bacterial small subunit ribosomal RNA". Lineage: Bacteria; Pseudomonadati; Bacteroidota; Bacteroidia; Bacteroidales; Bacteroidaceae. The record is from RNAcentral.
CUUUUACAAUGAAGAGUUUGAUCCUGGCUCAGGAUGAACGCUAGCUACAGGCUUAACACAUGCAAGUCGAGGGGCAGCAUGAUUGAAGCUUGCUUCAAUCGAUGGCGACCGGCGCACGGGUGAGUAACACGUAUCCAACCUGCCGAUAACUCGGGGAUAGCCUUUCGAAAGAAAGAUUAAUACCCGAUAGUAUAGUAUUUCCGCAUGGUUUCACUAUUAAAGAAUUUCGGUUAUCGAUGGGGAUGCGUUCCAUUAGAUAGUUGGCGGGGUAACGGCCCACCAAGUCAACGAUGGAUAGGGGUUCUGAGAGGAAGGUCCCCCACAUUGGAACUGAGACACGGUCCAAACUCCUACGGGAGGCAGCAGUGAGGAAUAUUGGUCAAUGGACGAGAGUCUGAACCAGCCAAGUAGCGUGAAGGAUGACUGCCCUAUGGGUUGUAAACUUCUUUUAUACGGGAAUAAAGUGGAGUAUGCAUACUCCUUUGUAUGUACCGUAUGAAUAAGGAUCGGCUAACUCCGUGCCAGCAGCCGCGGUAAUACGGAGGAUCCGAGCGUUAUCCGGAUUUAUUGGGUUUAAAGGGAGCGUAGGCGGGUGCUUAAGUCAGUUGUGAAAGUUUGCGGCUCAACCGUAAAAUUGCAGUUGAUACUGGGCGCCUUGAGUGCAGCAUAGGUAGGCGGAAUUCGUGGUGUAGCGGUGAAAUGCUUAGAUAUCACGAAGAACUCCGAUUGCGAAGGCAGCUUACUGGACUGUAACUGACGCUGAUGCUCGAAAGUGUGGGUAUCAAACAGGAUUAGAUACCCUGGUAGUCCACACAGUAAACGAUGAAUACUCGCUGUUGGCGAUACACAGUCAGCGGCCAAGCGAAAGCAUUAAGUAUUCCACCUGGGGAGUACGCCGGCAACGGUGAAACUCAAAGGAAUUGACGGGGGCCCGCACAAGCGGAGGAACAUGUGGUUUAAUUCGAUGAUACGCGAGGAACCUUACCCGGGCUUAAAUUGCAGCGGAAUGUAGUGGAAACAUUACAGCCUUCGGGCCGCUGUGAAGGUGCUGCAUGGUUGUCGUCAGCUCGUGCCGUGAGGUGUCGGCUUAAGUGCCAUAACGAGCGCAACCCUUAUCUAUAGUUACUAUCAGGUCAUGCUGAGGACUCUAUGGAGACUGCCGUCGUAAGAUGUGAGGAAGGUGGGGAUGACGUCAAAUCAGCACGGCCCUUACGUCCGGGGCUACACACGUGUUACAAUGGGGGGUACAGAAGGCAGCUACCUGGCGACAGGAUGCUAAUCCCAAAAACCUCUCUCAGUUCGGAUUGGAGUCUGCAACCCGACUCCAUGAAGCUGGAUUCGCUAGUAAUCGCGCAUCAGCCACGGCGCGGUGAAUACGUUCCCGGGCCUUGUACACACCGCCCGUCAAGCCAUGAAAGCCGGGGGUACCUGAAGUACGUAACCGCAAGGAGCGUCCUAGGGUAAAACUGGUGAUUGGGGCUAAGUCGUAACAAGGUAGCCGUACCGGAAGGUGCGGCUGGAACACCUCCUUUCU